Molecule: ribosomal RNA, 94 nt
Filed under: Nannospalax galili (Upper Galilee mountains blind mole rat)
Lineage: Eukaryota; Metazoa; Chordata; Mammalia; Rodentia; Spalacidae
Source: RNAcentral
ACCACUCUCACUGCGCCUGAUCUCAUCAGAUCUUAGAAGCUGAACAGAGUUGGGCCUGGUUAGUACUCAGAUGACAAUGCCAUGAUACCUAAUA